ACGAACGCUGGCGGCGUGCCUAAUACAUGCAAGUCGAGCGAUUGGUGCUUGCACCAGAGCGGCGGACGGGUGAGUAACACGUGGGUAACCUGCCCAAGAGACUGGGAUAACACCUGGAAACAGAUGCUAAUACCGGAUAACAACACUGACGCAUGUCUAGAGUUAAAAGAUGUUCUUAUCACUCUUGGAUGGACCUGCGGUGCAUUAGCUAGUUGGUAAGGUAACGGCUUACCAAGGCAAUGAUGCAUAGCCGAGUUGAGAGACUGAUCGGCCACAUUGGGACUGAGACACGGCCCAAACUCCUACGGGAGGCAGCAGUAGGGAAUCUUCCACAAUGGACGCAAGUCUGAUGGAGCAACGCCGCGUGAGUGAAGAAGGGUUUCGGCUCGUAAAGCUCUGUUGGUAGUGAAGAAAGAUAGAGGUGUAAGCCUUUAUUUGACGGUAAUUACUUAGAAAGUCACGGCUAACUACGUGCCAGCAGCCGCGGUAAUACGUAGGUGGCAAGCGUUGUCCGGAUUUAUUGGGCGUAAAGCGAGUGCAGGCGGUUCAAUAAGUCUGAUGUGAAAGCCUUCGGCUCAACCGGAGAAUUGCAUCAGAAACUGUUGAACUUGAGUGCAGAAGAGGAGAGUGGAACUCCAUGUGUAGCGGUGGAAUGCGUAGAUAUAUGGAAGAACACCAGUGGCGAAGGCGGCUCUCUGGUCUGCAACUGACGCUGAGGCUCGAAAGCAUGGGUAGCGAACAGGAUUAGAUACCCUGGUAGUCCAUGCCGUAAACGAUGAGUGCUAAGUGUUGGGAGGUUUCCCCUCUCAGUGCUGCAGCUAACGCAUUAAGCACUCCGCCUGGGGAGUACGACCGCAAGGUUGAAACUCAAAGGAAUUGACGUGGGCCCGUACAAGCGGUGGAGCAUGUGGUUUAAUUCGAAGCAACGCGAAGAACCUUACCAGGUCUUGACAUCCAGUGCAAACCUAAGAGAUUAGGUGUUCCCUUCGGGGACGCUGAGACAGGUGGUGCAUGGCUGUCGUCAGCUCGUGUCGUGAGAUGUUGGGUUAAGUCCCGCAACGAGCGCAACCCUUGUCAUUAGUUGCCAUCAUUAAGUUGGGCACUCUAAUGAGACUGCCGGUGACAAACCGGAGGAAGGUGGGAUGACGUCAAGUCAUCAUGCCCCUUAUGACCUGGGCUACACACGUGCUACAAUGGACGGUACAACGAGAAGCGAACCUGCGAAGGCAAGCGGAUCUCUGAAAGCCGUUCUCAGUUCGGACUGUAGGCUGCAACUCGCCUACACGAAGCUGGAAUCGCUAGUAAUCGCGGAUCAGCACGCCGCGGUGAAUACGUUCCCGGGCCUUGCACACACCGCCCGUCA
This 1363-nucleotide ribosomal RNA is filed under the name uncultured bacterium. RNAcentral describes it as "16S ribosomal RNA". It matches the Rfam family "Bacterial small subunit ribosomal RNA", at positions 29 to 1399 of the family's 1533-position model. The record is from RNAcentral.